RNAcentral lists this ribosomal RNA (253 nucleotides) under uncultured bacterium. Its description in RNAcentral is "partial 16S ribosomal RNA". It matches the Rfam family "Bacterial small subunit ribosomal RNA", at positions 524 to 776 of the family's 1533-position model. The record is from RNAcentral.
UACAGAGGUCCCAAGCGUUGUUCGGAUUCACUGGGCGUAAAGGGUGCGUAGGUGGUGGGGUAAGUCGGAUGUGAAAUCUCCAAGCUCAACUUGGAAACUGCAUUGGAAACUACCUUGCUAGAGGAUUUGAGGGGGGAUUGGAAUACUUGGUGUAGCAGUGAAAUGCGUAGAUAUCGUAAGGAAGACCAGUGGCGAAGGCGGGUCUCUGGACAGUUCCUGACGCUGAGGCACGAAGGCCAGGGGAGCAAACGGG